Molecule: ribosomal RNA, 607 nt
Filed under: Trichoderma sp. JCM 28081
Lineage: Eukaryota; Fungi; Ascomycota; Sordariomycetes; Hypocreales; Hypocreaceae
Description: eukaryotic LSU rRNA
Rfam family: Eukaryotic large subunit ribosomal RNA
Source: RNAcentral
GCAUAUCAAUAAGCGGAGGAAAAGAAACCAACAGGGAUUGCCCCAGUAACGGCGAGUGAAGCGGCAACAGCUCAAAUUUGAAAUCUGGCCCCUCAAGGUCCGAGUUGUAAUUUGUAGAGGAUGCUUUUGGUGAGGUGCCGCCCGAGUUCCCUGGAACGGGACGCCGCAGAGGGUGAGAGCCCCGUCUGGCUGGCCGCCGAACCUAUGUAAAGCUCCUUCGACGAGUCGAGUAGUUUGGGAAUGCUGCUCAAAAUGGGAGGUAUAUGUCUUCUAAAGCUAAAUAUUGGCCAGAGACCGAUAGCGCACAAGUAGAGUGAUCGAAAGAUGAAAAGCACCUUGAAAAGAGGGUUAAAUAGUACGUGAAAUUGUUGAAAGGGAAGCGCUUGUGACCAGACUUGGGCGCGGCGGAUCAUCCGGGGUUCUCCCCGGUGCACUUCGCCGUGUCCAGGCCAGCAUCAGUUCGUCGCGGGGGAAAAAGGCUUCGGGAACGUGGCUCCUCCGGGAGUGUUAUAGCCCGUUGCAUAAUACCCUGCGGUGGACUGAGGACCGCGCUUCGGCAAGGAUGCUGGCGUAAUGGUCACCAGCGACCCGUCUUGAAACACGGACC